CCGGCGGGUUGGCCACGCCUACACCGCCUGGUUAGUAAUUUGUCAGAAUAAUCAUCGAUAUAAAUAACACCUGGGGAGAUGCUGUUGCAAUAAGCAAUGUCUGUGCUGGUCGCUGCCGUAACCAGUCUGAAGUGAAUCUCCCUCCAUCGAGCUGUGUCCUGCUUCUCCUUUAAGACUGUUUUUAGGGGAUUACUGCAUGCUCUUUGGGAUGAUAAUCGAUGCAAGCGUGAUCCAGCAGAAGUUGGUGUCCAUCGCACAUGCUGUGCCAGGGUGACGUGCAGCCAAGGGGUGAUAGCCACUGCUGUUUUGCUUAUGUGAUGUUUUGCCUUGUUUUCUUUUAUGUUAAGAGGUUUACCUAGCAUUAUGUUCCCUGUUUAUUGUAUUGUUUCUAAAUAGGGUUUAGUCAAUUUUAUGGUGUGAACAGUGUGUGAAUGGUUUUAUGCACAGGGAGGCAAGGCCCUCUUAUAUUUGGUUGAUGUGAUGAAUUGAUUUGUGGUGUUUAUUUAAUGGUGCCUUUUAACCUGUUGACUCUGACCAUUUUAUUC
Monopterus albus (swamp eel) is the source of this 545-nucleotide long non-coding RNA. RefSeq lists it as uncharacterized. The record is from RefSeq and is a predicted model, not a curated record. Lineage: Eukaryota; Metazoa; Chordata; Actinopteri; Synbranchiformes; Synbranchidae. The transcript is spliced from 3 exons.